AACGUAGGUACCGAGCGUUAUCCGGAUUUACUGGGCGUAAAGCGCGUUCAGGCGGUUUGGCAAGUCGGGCAUGAAAUCUCUCGGCUCAACCGGGAGAGGUUGUCCGAUACUUCCAGACUUGAGGGCAGUAGAGGGUGGUGGAAUUCCGGGUGUAGUGGUGAAAUGCGUAGAUAUCCGGAGGAACACCAGUGGCGAAAGCGGCCACCUGGACUGCACCUGACGCUGACACGCGAAAGCUAGGGGAGCGAACGGG
This 253-nucleotide ribosomal RNA is filed under the name uncultured bacterium. RNAcentral's name for it is "partial 16S ribosomal RNA". It matches the Rfam family "Bacterial small subunit ribosomal RNA", at positions 524 to 776 of the family's 1533-position model. The record is from RNAcentral. RNAcentral also lists the same sequence under 2 other names.